RNAcentral lists this ribosomal RNA (253 nucleotides) under uncultured bacterium. Its description in RNAcentral is "partial 16S ribosomal RNA". It matches the Rfam family "Bacterial small subunit ribosomal RNA", at positions 524 to 776 of the family's 1533-position model. The record is from RNAcentral.
UACGUAGGGGGCAAGCGUUGUCCGGAAUCAUUGGGCGUAAAGCGCGUGUAGGCGGCCCGGUAAGUCCGCUGUGAAAGUCGGGGGCUCAACCCUCGAAUGCCGGUGGAUACUGUCGGGCUAGAGUGCGGAAGAGGCGAGUGGAAUUCCUGGUGUAGCGGUGAAAUGCGCAGAUAUCAGGAGGAACACCGGUGGCGAAGGCGGGUCUCUGGGCUGACACUGACGCUCAUGCACGAAAGCGUGGGGAGCAAACAGG